Molecule: ribosomal RNA, 444 nt
Filed under: Capnocytophaga granulosa
Lineage: Bacteria; Pseudomonadati; Bacteroidota; Flavobacteriia; Flavobacteriales; Flavobacteriaceae
Description: bacterial SSU rRNA
Rfam family: Bacterial small subunit ribosomal RNA
Source: RNAcentral
GAUGAACGCUAGCGGCAGGCCUAACACAUGCAAGUCGAGGGAGAAGCCCUUCGGGGCAGAAACCGGCGCACGGGUGCGUAACGCGUAUGCAACCUACCUUUCACAGGGGGAUAGCCCGAAGAAAUUUGGAUUAAUACCCCAUAAUAUUAUUGGGUGGCAUCAUUUGAUAAUUAAAAUUACGAUGGUGAAAGAUGGGCAUGCGUCCUAUUAGCUAGUUGGAGUGGUAACGGCACCCCAAGGCUACGAUAGGUAGGGGUCCUGAGAGGGAGAUCCCCCACACUGGUACUGAGACAGGGACCAGACUCCUACGGGAGGCAGCAGUGAGGAAUAUUGGUCAAUGGUCGGAAGACUGAACCAGCCAUGCCGCGUGCAGGAAGAAUGCCUUAUGGGUUGUAAACUGCUUUUAUAUGGGAAGAAUAAGGAGUAACGUGUACUCUGAUGACG